CAGCACUCCAGUGUAUUAUAUAGCUCAGUGGCGUAAGCCCUCCUGCCUGAGCUCGCCUGCCUGUCCACCCUCAGAACAAAACAUCUGGAGAACACCUACCAGCUCUGCACCUACCAUCCACAUUCCUGGACAUCAUCACCCUCCCAAGCUCAAGCCUCACCAUCAGCCCACAAGACCCAGAAAUCCAGCCUGCAGACGUCAUGUCCACAUUUAUUAUUUUUUUAAAUAAAACCUUUAAC
Molecule: long non-coding RNA, 239 nt
Organism: Fundulus heteroclitus (mummichog)
Lineage: Eukaryota; Metazoa; Chordata; Actinopteri; Cyprinodontiformes; Fundulidae
Exons: 2
Source: RefSeq, a predicted model, not a curated record